RNAcentral lists this microRNA precursor (103 nucleotides) under Marmota monax (woodchuck). The record is from RNAcentral. Lineage: Eukaryota; Metazoa; Chordata; Mammalia; Rodentia; Sciuridae.
CUCAGAAUUUCUUGGGAACCUUGUUAAGUGGCAAAUUUGGAUUCAAUAGAUCUGGGUGGGGCACGGAUUCUGCAUUCCUUACAAGCUCCCAAGGGGUGCUGAU